GAUGCAACAGCAUUCAACAUUAUCACAUUCUCACACACACAUACAAAGCCUUAACUCAAAGAACAACCACAACAAGUGACUUGGAAAAAAAAUGUAAACACCGAAACAAUCACAAGCAUACAGAACAUGUGAAUAUUAUUAUAGCAAACAUAAUAAUAAAAUAGCUCUUCUAAUGCGUCUCCGAAAAUAUCCCAAAUCAAGAAAACUACAUAAUCUGAUCCACUUGAUUCAGAAAGCUACAUAUAUUGGAAAAAUUAAGAAUCAACUAAAAGAAAAAGAAAAGGAAGGCCUGGUUGAUUCGAUUCAAUUGCCUGAGAUGAAGAAUCAAACAGGGCUGAGAAGCUGAGAGUUUAAAUGUUAAACCUCAAUAUUCAAAUAACAUGACUCCAUUAUUGUUAUUAUUACACCCUUCUAAUGUCACAAACUCAAUAUUAUAGUCCAUUGACACUUGUGUAUUCACAACUUGGCCUCAUCAUUCUGAUUCAUACCUUAAGUAGAAGAAAAAGUCCCAAUCAGCUUUCGUUACAAUUUUAUCCAGAGCGAUGAAUCCGUGAAUCAGUAACAUAAAUUUUAACAAAGUUCAUCACAAUGAUUAACAACAACAAAAAGCACUGAGGGAACACUCAGUGAUAUAGGCAGUGCAAAUUUUAACAAAGCUCAUCACAAUGAUUAACAACAACAAAAAUCACUAAAGAACAGUGAAUCAGUAACAUGGGCAGUGCAAAUUUAAAAUUUAAAAGUUCAAUUUAAAAUUUAUCAUCAAAUACAAUCAGUGAGCAAAGCCAAUCAAUCAAGCACUGACUGAGCAUUCUGUUCUGAUUCUGUGACUGGGAAGCAACAAAUUCAGCAACAAAUUCAAGUUACAGCAACAAAUUUAACAAAUCCUAGUAAAGUCCCGAUUUACAGCAAAAAGGCAAAUUUAUUGAUUACCAAUUCAGCAACAUGCAGAAAUCCAGGGAGAAGGGAAAUCUUGAAAAGAGAGAACACUAAACCAAAACAUUAACCAAUAAUCACAAAACACUAAACCUUCACCCAGCAAUUACAAACAUUAGAAGAUUAUAAAACAUUCCAAAACACUAAACCUUCACCCAGCAAAACCAGCAACUACAAACAAAGCCAUCAGUAAAUUUGAACAAAAAAAUUAAGAGCCAUCAGCAACUAACAGAGCCAUCGAGCCAUCAGUAACAGAGAGCAAAGAAUUGAAAGCAACAGACUAACAGAGCCAUCGAGCCAUCAGUAAAUUUGAAAAAAAAAAUUUACAGCCAUCAGCAACCAGCAAAUACAAGACAGAUCCAUCAGCAGCAGACAAUUACAAUUUACAAAACAUUACAAGAAAAAUGGAACAAAAAUUGAACAACAAUUUCAGAACUUCAAACGAAGAAGAAGAC
Molecule: non-coding RNA, 1388 nt
Organism: Arachis ipaensis
Lineage: Eukaryota; Viridiplantae; Streptophyta; Magnoliopsida; Fabales; Fabaceae
Source: RefSeq, a predicted model, not a curated record